GCCCGAGUUAAACGCCAGCAGAGAGGAAUCGUGAUGUCUGUGGAUUUAACUUUUGCAGCACAGACUCUGAUGACUGCUUACGGUCCAUUGACAGGCUCUGUGAUUUUGCUGAAGAAUUUGGAUUGCACCCACUGUGGGCCUGGAGUGCGGAUGCAAGGUGGUUAGCAGGUGAAUGAGCCCGGUUAGCCCCCAGCACUGAAACGCAAUGUCUACACCCAACAUGGGGCUUGAACUCACAACCCUGAGAUCAAGAGGUGCAUCCGCUAUCGGUGAGCCAACCAUGCGCCCUAGCUUCAUCUUUCUCCAGCGGUAAGAGUUAUGAUUCAUCCUCGCACACCAACUGUUUUUCAAUCAGGAAAAAUUUCCUGUACAACCAUGGAAACAGUGCAAUAGGUUAAUACCAGAAGAAUCUUCAGUCAGCACAUAUUCGAAGAUAGGACCUAAAGGCUUCUUUGGUCAUGCAAUAGCUAGGAAUAACACUCUUCUUGGGAAAAUGUAACAGGGAAAGUUAACUUUAUUAUUAUGUAAUUAUCAUAUAUGAUUAUUAUAAUAUAUACUAAAGGAAAUACAGAGAAUACACUUCAAAUUCCCAAUGCUCUUAUACUUGUAAACAUUUAAAGGAACUUCUUUACAUAGUAAUAAAAGACACUUUAAUAUCAACUUUACCAAUAAAGUUUUACCAGUCAAUG
This is a long non-coding RNA of Suricata suricatta (meerkat), 689 nucleotides long. RefSeq lists it as uncharacterized. Lineage: Eukaryota; Metazoa; Chordata; Mammalia; Carnivora; Herpestidae. The transcript is spliced from 2 exons. The record is from RefSeq and is a predicted model, not a curated record.